This 447-nucleotide ribosomal RNA is filed under the name uncultured bacterium. RNAcentral's name for it is "bacterial SSU rRNA". It matches the Rfam family "Bacterial small subunit ribosomal RNA", at positions 355 to 825 of the family's 1533-position model. The record is from RNAcentral.
UCGGGAAUUUUGGGCAAUGGGCGAAAGCCUGACCCAGCAACGCCGCGUGAAGGAUGAAGUAUUUCGGUAUGUAAACUUCGAAAGAAUAGGAAGAAUAAAUGACGGUACUAUUUAUAAGGUCCGGCUAACUACGUGCCAGCAGCCGCGGUAAUACGUAGGGACCAAGCGUUGUUCGGAUUUACUGGGCGUAAAGUGCGCGUAGGCGGCAAUUCAAGUCAUCUGUGAAAUCUCCGGGCUUAACUCGGAACGGUCAAGUGAUACUGUCGCGCUAGAGUGCAGAAGGGGCAAUCGGAAUUCUUGGUGUAGCGGUGAAAUGCGUAGAUAUCAAGAGGAACACCUGAGGUGAAGACGGGUUGCUGGGCUGACACUGACGCUGAGGCGCGAAGGCCAGGGGAGCAAACGGGAUUAGAUACCCUAGUAGUCCCUGAGCGGGCUGGCAAGGCGCAU